This is a non-coding RNA of Chlorocebus sabaeus (green monkey), 1090 nucleotides long. NCBI's taxonomy places the organism in Eukaryota, Metazoa, Chordata, Mammalia, Primates, Cercopithecidae. The record is from RefSeq and is a predicted model, not a curated record.
CGGAAGGGUUCAUACUGCGCCUGAAAGGGGACAAUGGAGGCUGGAUAGAUCAACACUGCAGAAAUCGAGUUCAUUUGUGAUUCAGCCCCUUUCACUGCGGUUGUCAUGCAAACUUCCUACUUUGAUCAGCAGAGGGUGGAGAGGGAAAAAGCCCGCAAAGGCCGCGGGCUGCGGCGCGGUCCGGCGCCCUUGGCGGCUCCACGCCCCCUUCCGGAAGGAGCCGCGGGGACGCCGCAUCCUGCACCUUGACCUGUCUAGACGGCCCCGAACGUUUUGUCUCCGUUACCAAGGGCGAGGGGUGCUCUUUGACCCGCGCCCGGGGCGGAGGUGGUGGCCAAGGGGUCCAGCUGAAUCCUCGCCGAAUUCCGGAGGGAGAGGGGCUAGCGGGGACGUGCACCAGCUGUUCCCAAAGAAAGCAGCCCAGGAGCCCGCCUGGGAGAUGGGACGCCCGUCCGUGAGCCCCUUCCUCUCCCAGCCCCGCGUCCACCCCAGCCCGGGCCAUCGCGCGGCUGCAGCGCGGGGGACGCGCAGCCAAGGGCAGCCCCGGGGUGGGCCAGACUUUGGGCCUCCUCAACUUCUCCCCGACUAAGGGGGUCUGCAGCCAGCUGAGCGCGCGCUCUCUCUCCCUCUCUCUCCCUCCCUCUCUCUGUCUCUCCCUCCUUCUCUCUCUCCCUCUCUCUGUGUCUCUCCCCCUCCUCUCUCUCUCCUCUCUGUCUGACAAGUAGAUGGAUAAUAACUGCCAUUUUCUAUGCGUCAUGCUUUUUGCUACAUGCUCAGUGACUUCUAAAUAUGAUUCUAUGCAGAGGUAUAGUUUCUAGUUUGAAUGUAUUUUUUUCUGUCCACUUUGAAAUAUACGCACUUUUAAAAAACUAGAAUUUACGCUAACCCCGUAAUGAUGUAAAGCAGGUUGUUGUUACAUUGUAAUAACAGCCUACGGUACCGUCUACUGUGUCUGUGCUGGGGAAGUGGCACACGUUUGCAUUCAUGGAGAGUGUGGCGUUUCCAUGUGGACUCGCCGGAAGGUCUUUGAAGUAACAUUAACAUUAAGACAAGUUUCCUCGCCCUGUCUUUCUUCUUAGAUCCCCCUAGC